This 488-nucleotide ribosomal RNA is filed under the name uncultured bacterium. Its description in RNAcentral is "bacterial SSU rRNA". It matches the Rfam family "Bacterial small subunit ribosomal RNA", at positions 28 to 507 of the family's 1533-position model. The record is from RNAcentral.
GAUGAACGCUAGCGGCAGGCUUAACACAUGCAAGUCGAGGGGUAACAGGGAAAAGCUUGCUUUUCUGCUACGACCGGGCGCACGGGUGCGUAACGCGUAUACAAUCUGCCUUAUACAGAGGGAUAGCCUUUAGAAAUGAAGAUUAAUACCUUAUAGUCUAUAUAUAUAGCAUUAUAUAAAUAGUAAAGCUUCGGUGGUAUAAGAUGAGUAUGCGUCCUAUUAGUUAGUUGGUGAGGUAACGGCUUACCAAGACAACGAUAGGUAGGGGCCCUGAGAGGGGGAUCCCCCACACUGGUACUGAGACACGGACCAGACUCCUACGGGAGGCAGCAGUGAGGAAUAUUGGACAAUGGAGGCAACUCUGAUCCAGCCAUGCCGCGUGCAGGAAGACGGCCCUAUGGGUUGUAAACUGCUUUUAUAUAGGAAGAAACCUUUUCACGUGUGAGAAGCUGACGGUACUAUAAGAAUAAGGACCGGCUAACUCCGUG